AUUGAACGCUGGCGGCAGGCUUAACACAUGAAAGUCGAACGAGUGGCGGACGGGUGAGUAAUGCUUGGGAAUCUGGCUUAUGGAGGGGGAUAACGACGGGAAACUGUCGCUAAUACCGCGUACCAUAGGAUGAGCCCAAGUGGGAUUCGGUAGUUGGUGGGGUAAUGGCCUACCAAGCAGACGAUCUCUAGCUGGUCUGAGAGGAUGACAAGCCCCACCGGGACGGGGACAGGGCCCGGACGCCUCCGGGAUGCAGCAGUUGGGAAUAUUGCGCAAUGGGGGCAUCCUGACGCAGCCAUGCCGCGUGAAUGAAGAAGGCCUUCGGGUUGUAAAGUUCUUUCGGUGACGAGGCGUUAAUCACAGAAGAAGCACCGGCUAACUCCGUGCAAGCCGCCGCGGUAAUUC
RNAcentral lists this ribosomal RNA (405 nucleotides) under uncultured bacterium. RNAcentral's name for it is "partial 16S ribosomal RNA". It matches the Rfam family "Bacterial small subunit ribosomal RNA", at positions 30 to 526 of the family's 1533-position model. The record is from RNAcentral.